UACAGAGGUCUCAAGCGUUGUUCGGAUUCAUUGGGCGUAAAGGGUGCGUAGGCGGCGCGGUAAGUCGGGUGUGAAAUCUCGGAGCUUAACUCCGAAACUGCAUUCGAUACUGCCGUGCUUGAGGACUGGAGAGGAGACUGGAAUUUACGGUGUAGCGGUGAAAUGCGUAGAUAUCGUAAGGAAGACCAGUGGCGAAGGCGGGUCUCUGGACAGUUCCUGACGCUGAGACGCGAAAGCUAGGGGAGCGAACAGG
This 253-nucleotide ribosomal RNA is filed under the name uncultured bacterium. RNAcentral's name for it is "partial 16S ribosomal RNA". It matches the Rfam family "Bacterial small subunit ribosomal RNA", at positions 524 to 776 of the family's 1533-position model. The record is from RNAcentral.